UGGGGAAUAUUGCACAAUGGGCGCAAGCCUGAUGCAGCCAUGCCGCGUGUGUGAAGAAGGCCUUCGGUUUGUAAAGUACUUUCAGCGGGGAGGAAGGGAGUAAAGUUAAUACCUUUGCUCAUUGACGUUACCCGCAGAAGAAGCACCGGCUAACUCUGUGCCAGCAGCAGCGGUAAUACGGAGGGUGCAAGCGUUAAUCGGAAUUACUGGGCGUAAAGCGCACGCAGGCGGUUUGUUAAGUCAGAUGUGAAAUCCCCGGGCUCAACCUGGGAACUGCAUCUGAUACUGGCAAGCUUGAGUCUCGUAGAGGGGGGUAGAAUUCCAGGUGUAGCGGUGAAAUGCGUAGAGAUCUGGAGGAAUACCGGUGGCGAAGGCGGCCCCCUGGACAAAGACUGACGCUAAGGUGCGAAAGCGUGGGGAGCAAACAGG
RNAcentral lists this ribosomal RNA (429 nucleotides) under Chloroflexota bacterium. RNAcentral's name for it is "Chloroflexi bacterium partial 16S ribosomal RNA". It matches the Rfam family "Bacterial small subunit ribosomal RNA", at positions 355 to 776 of the family's 1533-position model. The record is from RNAcentral. Lineage: Bacteria; Bacillati; Chloroflexota.